Brassica napus (rape) is the source of this 1721-nucleotide long non-coding RNA. RefSeq lists it as uncharacterized. The record is from RefSeq and is a predicted model, not a curated record. The transcript is spliced from 6 exons. NCBI's taxonomy places the organism in Eukaryota, Viridiplantae, Streptophyta, Magnoliopsida, Brassicales, Brassicaceae.
GCCAUGUCACCGAAUUGUUGCGUCCAAUUGAUUUGGACCCAAAUAUGUUGACCCAAUUCGACAAGCCCAUCUCUUGGUUCAAGAACGGAGAUAGAGAUUACCGACUCUUCACCUUCAUCGUCCUUAUUGUCUCUGCAACGCCAAAGACGUUCACGUUCCGACUCCAGUCAUUUCUCUCUUCAUGCAAACUCAAUCGCCCAAAUAUAGCUUCAACCACACCAAACGAUUACGACGAAAUCUGAAAACCCAGACGGCAAGGCUCCGCUGAGCCGGCGAAUCUCACCAGGCUGAGUUACGCUUCCUUUUAAAAGACAAUUGUUCAGCCUCAGGGAUGCUAUCGGAGCUGUGAUUGAAGAUCUGGGUUUGAAUGGUAAGCUUAAGGAUCAGAGAUUAGGGUAUUCAGCUAAACUAACAAUCUCCUACAAACGAUCACUUGGGCAGAGAAAGUGUUUCUCUUCAGAUGGAAACGUUGAAGAAGAACCCAAUAGCAUCUACUGUCUACUAUCUAUACGUUCCAUAUUGUUCCAGAUCUUCAACUCUAGCAAACCAUGUUCAAAUUUGGUCAUCAGUGGGUUAAUAGCGAAAGGAAGAUAUCCAAUAGUGUGUUAAUGCAAGUGGAAGCCAUUUACUUAUGGAUGCAUCAGGGAAGGUUGACUGUAACAGUGUUAUGGUCCGUCCAGGGGACCAAAAAUUUGAAAGCUUGAUGAGAAGUAUGGGGGAAACAUACUGAAACGAGGGGAAACAUACUGAAACAAGUUCAGCGGUUGGGUUAGGUUCAAUGUUCCUAUCUCUCAUUGCAUCACAUACAUGUAUAAAAAUAUUCUCUAGAUUACUUGGAAGAUAAAUUAUUUGGAUUACCACAUUACUUGUGUAGUCUGUUUUGUUUUGAGAACUUUAAAUUACCACAAACAUUUCGCUGGAUUUAUUUGUUUUGCGCAAACCUGUGAACAGCUGUGACUUCUUUUGAUGCCGUCAAGAUUCGACCCAUGUAGUUUAAAUCAGUUAUACGCAUUGAGAUAUAGAACCAUUUCAGUCGUUCAUGCUACCAGAGGACUCAGAGAUGCGAUUGAGAAUUUCAAUCAUUAUUCAGAAGUUGGAGCUGGUGCUGGACAGAGUUACCUACCUUUGUGAAGUCUAUGCGUCCAAACUGACAACAAACUGCAGAAGUUAGCUUAGUGAGAUAUUGUGGUCAAAAGUAUCUAGAAACAAAAUCACCAAUCACUAAGAAGCAACACUAGAUUCUGAAGGAAGAUGUUAGGGAUUACUCUCGAUGUAAAGAAAAACAUGAUAAUUGAGGUUAGUAGAUGAAACAAUUUGUACUCAUCACUAUUGUAUUCUUUAUGCGGGUUGAUAUCGUUAAUUUUGAAGUAUCUCAAGAAACGAACACACCAAAAAGGUCUUUUAUGUCUACUCUUUAUACAGUUUUUCUGUUUGUGGCUCAGAGAUAAUCAAAGCUAUGUAUCAUGAACAGAGAAGAGUUGAAGAUUUUCUGGAAGGUGGGGCGUUUUGGGUUUGAGUUUAUCUUACGUCUGAUGGUUUACUGUAUUCGAUCUUCAUGAUGUCUAAACUGAAGACAUGUGUCCUGCAAGCAUUACAAAGAGAGCGAAAACUUUAAAGCUAACGACACCAUGGCAGACACAAAACAGAGUUGGGACUGUAUCUGUACAACAGAGGCCUAAUUUAGCCAAAUAAAAUUAAAAGCAUGGAAUAUACUCUCAUUA